GCCCGCCUAGCUCAAUCGGAUAGAGCGUCAGACUCUUAUGGCGGAGCAUCUGGAUCUGAAGGCUGCGAGUUCGACCCUCGCGGUGGGCU
Molecule: transfer RNA, 89 nt
Filed under: Lentinula boryana
Lineage: Eukaryota; Fungi; Basidiomycota; Agaricomycetes; Agaricales; Omphalotaceae
Description: tRNA-Lys
Rfam family: tRNA
About the family: Transfer RNA (tRNA) molecules are approximately 80 nucleotides in length. Their secondary structure includes four short double-helical elements and three loops (D, anti-codon, and T loops).
Source: RNAcentral